CUGCAAGGAUACUUGACGCGGGAUUUUACCUCAGGAUUCAUGAACAGUUUUUCAUCGACUUAUUUCUGAUUUAUUUGAAGGAAAAGACCCUGAUGGAUAAAAGAUGGAUAUUUUUUCCUGGAGAAGCUAAAACAAUGUAACUUUGAGGUUCUGAUACCAGCUUUUACAAAGUUAUUUACAGAGUUCACCAGACUUCUCUGUGUUAUUUCCUGACCAUGCCGAAAAGCUAUUUGAAACUUGGGCAUUGCAUUUUCCAGACAGAAUCCUGCACUUCCCAGCCAAGAACCAGGAGCAUCAACAAAUCACCUCCAGAACCCCAUGAUGAUAUUCCAACUCCUGUCUACAAAAGUGGGAAGAAAAUCUUAAGUCUAUGUUGGGACCAACAUGGUUGCAUUCUUCUGAGAGCCUGAUGUGACAAAACCAUUCCCAUUUGUCCUUGGAUUGGAAGAUGGCGAUCUCUGCCAUCAAGCAGUCAUUGUUUUUGACAGACAGUCACUCCAGCAAUACACCCUCCUUGGUGAUGUUGAUAUGUUUUAAACUUUUUUUUUUAUGUUUUGGACAUUAAUUUUACUAAGCAGUGCACAUCAGUGUGGGUGUUUUUGAAGACUGUUGUUUACAAACUCCCAAGAACGGAAUCCCUUUCUAUAAGAAGUCUGUGUAGUUAUUUGUCAUGCUAAGGUGAUAACUCAUGUUGAUCAUAUAUUGACUGUUUGUGCAACUUUGUGUUGAUCUUAUGUGUUACAUUAACCAUUUCUUAUUACACGGUUCUCUAAAAUGCUAGAUUCUGAUUGGCCAGUCGUGACAUUCUACUACUGCUCAAAACUAAAAACUCCAAUGCUGCAAAUCAUUUUGACAGGUACAGUUUUAUAUUACACAAAAAUUAAAUAUCAAUGUCUAUUAAUUACAUAUCCGACAUUAAAUUUAUAAAUGAUUAAAUGUGUUCGUGACAUUUGUCCUGAAGAAACUGUUGGGGCUUUUUUCUGUGAUGACAUGCUGCCAAUACAUUAUCCCUUACUUGUACAACUUUUUACUUGAUCUAAUUGUAAUGUUAACUGGGUAUCUGUCAUUUUAGAUUGUGAGAUAUAAUACUAAUAUAUUUUUUUAUUUAUAUAUAAUAUAUAAACGUAUGUAUGUUUAUUAAAAAGUGAAAAUGCUUAAUGGAAAUAAUUAAAUAACUAAAUGGUUGAAUGAAAUGAGACAUUUUAAAUGUAAACUAAAGUUUUGCUGUCUAAUACAGA
Long non-coding RNA from Paramisgurnus dabryanus, 1238 nucleotides. RefSeq lists it as uncharacterized. The record is from RefSeq and is a predicted model, not a curated record. NCBI's taxonomy places the organism in Eukaryota, Metazoa, Chordata, Actinopteri, Cypriniformes, Cobitidae.